UAAGGAAUAUUGGUCAAUGGGCGCAAGCCUGAACCAGCCAUGCCGCGUGCAGGAAGACGGCCCUAUGGGUUGUAAACUGCUUUUGUCAGGGAAUAAACCUAUCUACGUGUAGAUAGCUGAAGGUACCUGAAGAAUAAGCAUCGGCUAACUCCGUGCCAGCAGCCGCGGUAAUACGGAGGAUGCAAGCGUUAUCCGGAUUCAUUGGGUUUAAAGGGUGCGCAGGCUGAUUAUUAAGUCAGGGGUGAAAUCUCUCGGCUCAACCGAGAAACUGCCUUUGAUACUGAUAGUCUAGAGUAUAGUUGAAGUUGGCGGAAUGUGUCAUGUAGCGGUGAAAUGCUUAGAUAUGACACAGAACACCGAUCGCGAAGGCAGCUAGCUAAGCUAUAACUGACGCUCAUGCACGAAAGCGUGGGGAUCAAACAGGAUUAGAUACCCUGGUAGUCCACGCUGUAAACGAUGAUUACUCGAUGUUGGCGAUACACAGUCAGCGUCUAAGCGAAAGCAAUAAGUAAUCCACCUGGGGAGUACGAUCGCAAGAUUG
RNAcentral lists this ribosomal RNA (541 nucleotides) under uncultured bacterium. Its description in RNAcentral is "bacterial SSU rRNA". It matches the Rfam family "Bacterial small subunit ribosomal RNA", at positions 355 to 896 of the family's 1533-position model. The record is from RNAcentral.